CUCCUCUGCUGCCGCCGCCGUCUCCCGGCAGCCGCCGCCGCCGCCGCUGUCCGAACUUGAAGUUGCCGGCGCGCCCGUUGCAGCCGCCGCCGCCGCCGCGGAGGUCGCCGUGGCCGCCGGGGGCCCCUUCUCGGCGCUCUUGUCCCCGGGGUAGUCGGAGGAGGCGAGGUUUUCCGGGGUGCCGUAGGCUGUCUCGAAAAACUGGUCGAAAGCCUGUGGCAGGACGCCGUUCCUGCCCACGGUGCUAUAGAAAUUGGACGAGACUGCGGGGGUGGGGUGGUGGUAGACGUUGGCCGAGCUCUUGGCCAGCACGUCGCCAGGCACGCCGGCCGCGCUGGGCGCCUGCAGGCAGUCUCUGUGCACGAGCUCCUCCGCGGAGUAGCAGUGGGCCAGAUUGCCGCGGGGGUGCCAUUUAGUGGCGGGCUCAAUGGCGUACUCUCUGAAGGUCACUUCGCGCACGGGUUGGACCUGGGGCAGGUUGGAGGAGUAGGAGUAUGUCAUUGGGCGCGAAGACGGGGUCUGGGGCAGAAAAGAAGGGAGGCUGGAGAAAUCUGGACCCGAGACGUAUGACUCGGCAGAGACAGAGGCACAGGGGCUGCCCUGCUGCUCACCGGUCCACCCAUCUGCCUGGUCUUCUGGAGCUGAGGACUCGGGAAACCAUGCAAUUGAGGCAAGCCUUGGGCUGCUUUAGAGGCGCUGACAUCCGAGGAGACUUCUCCUGGGUAUGCUGCAUCUUCGUGGGGGGCCCAUCAGGCUGCUUACAGAGCUCCAGGGGUGUGGGGAGAAUGGAGGUGGAAAGGACGGGCUGAGGGCCAAGGAGAGGUGGCUGAGAAAGGGGUAACCCACCUACUCUCCUACUCUCCUUCCUUGCAAUGUGUGAGAGUGAAAGCAAGGGAUGUGCAGGGCAAAAACUCAGAGAGCUCUGUGCCUUUCCUACUGCUCAUUCCACAGGAGGAAUACAAUACCAGAGAAAGGAGAGGUGCUUCCCGAACUCCC
RNAcentral lists this long non-coding RNA (996 nucleotides) under Homo sapiens (human). Its description in RNAcentral is "PREDICTED lncRNA (TCONS_00236048)". The stretch from base 625 to 722 matches the Rfam family "HOXA11 antisense RNA 1 conserved region 3". Lineage: Eukaryota; Metazoa; Chordata; Mammalia; Primates; Hominidae. The record is from RNAcentral.